Molecule: long non-coding RNA, 771 nt
Organism: Bos taurus (domestic cattle)
Lineage: Eukaryota; Metazoa; Chordata; Mammalia; Artiodactyla; Bovidae
Source: Ensembl
GCUUGACUCCCACUUCACAGAAGGAAGGUCUGGUGGUCCUGGUGCCAUUCACCUGCUUUCCAGUUCUCCUCCUUCCAGGUCCUUCCCCACCUUUUAGAAGUUAGGUAUUGCCCGUGUGACUUGCUCCUGCCAGUGAAACAGGAGCAAAAGUGAGUCUUUUCUGGGUGGACACAUUUAAGAGUCAGUGUGUGAUUCUUCUUCUUACCUUCUCUCUGCCCUGGUGACCGAUGACAUUUCAGAUGGUGGAGUCUGGAUGCCUGAGUGAGGAUGGCACGAAUCAGAACCUCCAACUGGCCUGCGAUGGACAUGUAUCGAUAAUUCAGCCUGGACUAUACAAAGGACUUAUCUCCCGCCCAUCCUAAAUCUUAUUUUGGUAGGACCCUAGUUUGAGCAGGGAUGGAACCCAGGCCUGCUGCAUUGGAAAGUGGAGUCUUCGCCACUGGACUGCCAGGGAAGUCCUUGAAAGUAAUCACUUUAAAAUGAACAAUUCAGUCCUGAAAAAAAAAUAAAAAUAAAAAAAAUAAAAUGAACAAUUCAAUGGCAUUUAGUAUAUCCACAAUAUUAUGCAAUCACUACCUCUGUCUUGUUCCAAAGGGUUUCCCUCACUCCAAAAAAAAACCUCAUACCCACUAAACAGCCACCCUGUUCCUUCUGCUCAGCUGUUGGCAAUAACCUGUGCUCUGUCUCUACGCAUUUAUCUCUCCUGAACAUUUCCUAUGGAUUGAAUUGUAUAAUAAUGUGACCCUUCGUUCUUGGCUUCUUACACUUAAU